Molecule: ribosomal RNA, 449 nt
Filed under: uncultured organism
Description: partial 16S ribosomal RNA
Rfam family: Bacterial small subunit ribosomal RNA
Source: RNAcentral
ACUCCUGCGGGAGGCAGCAGUGGGGAAUAUUGGACAAUGGGCGCAAGCCUGAUCCAGCCAUGCCGCGUGAGUGAUGAAGGCCCUAGGGUUGUAAAGCUCUUUCACCGGUGAAGAUAAUGACGGUAACCGGAGAAGAAGCCCCGGCUAACUUCGUGCCAGCAGCCGCGGUAAUACGAAGGGGGCUAGCGUUGUUCGGAUUUACUGGGCGUAAAGCGCACGUAGGCGGACUAUUAAGUCAGGGGUGAAAUCCCGGGGCUCAACCCCGGAACUGCCUUUGAUACUGGUAGUCUUGAGUUCGAGAGAGGUGAGUGGAAUUCCGAGUGUAGAGGUGAAAUUCGUAGAUAUUCGGAGGAACACCAGUGGCGAAGGCGGCUCACUGGCUCGAUACUGACGCUGAGGUGCGAAAGCGUGGGGAGCAAACAGGAUUAGAAACCCGGGUAGUCCCAUGA